GAUGAACGCUGGCGGCGUGCCUAAUACAUGCAAGUCGAGCGAACGGACGAGAAGCUUGCUUCUCUGAUGUUAGCGGCGGACGGGUGAGUAACACGUGGAUACCCUACCUAUAAGACUGGGAUAACUUCGGGAAACCAGAGCUAAUACCGGAUAAUAUUUUGAACCGCAUGGUUCAAGAGUGAAAGACGGUCUUGCUGUCACUUAUAGAUGGAUCCGCGCUGCAUUAGCUAGUUGGUAAGGUAACGGCUUACCAAGGCAACGAUGCAUAGCCGACCUGAGAGGGUGAUCGGCCACACUGGAACUGAGACACGGCCCAGACUCCUACGGGAGGCAGCAGUAGGGAAUCUUGCGCAAUGGGCGAAAGCCUGACGGAGCAACGCCGCGUGAGUGAUGAAGGUCUUCGGAUCGUAAACCUCUGUUAUUAGGGAAGAAAAGAUGUGUAAGUAACUGUGGACAUCUUGACGGUACCUAAACAGAAAGCAACGGCUAACUACGUG
This 497-nucleotide ribosomal RNA is filed under the name uncultured bacterium. RNAcentral's name for it is "partial 16S ribosomal RNA". It matches the Rfam family "Bacterial small subunit ribosomal RNA", at positions 28 to 507 of the family's 1533-position model. The record is from RNAcentral.